GACGAACGCUGGCGGCGUGCUUAACACAUGCAAGUCGAACGGACAGGCCCUGCUUUUGUGGGGUGCUCGAGUGGCGCACGGGUGAGUAACACGUGAGUAACCUGCCCUUGACUUUGGGAUAACUUCAGGAAACUGGGGCUCAUACCGGAUAGGAGCUCCUGCUGCAUGGUGGGGGUUGGAAAGUUUCGGCGGUUGGGGAUGGACUCGCGGCUUAUCAGCUUGUUGGUGAGGUAGUGGCUUACCAAGGCUUUGACGGGUAGCCGGCCUGGGAGGCGGACCGGCCACAUUGGGACUAAGAGACGGCCCAGACUCCUACGGGAGGCAGCAGUGGGGAAUCUUGCACAAUGGGCGGAAGCCUGAGGCAGCAACGCCGCGUGCGGGAUGACGUCCUUCGGGUUGUAAACCGCUUUCGCCUGUGACGAAGCGUGAGUGACGGUAAUGGGUAAAGAAGCACCGGCUAACUACGUG
This 468-nucleotide ribosomal RNA is filed under the name uncultured bacterium. RNAcentral describes it as "partial 16S ribosomal RNA". It matches the Rfam family "Bacterial small subunit ribosomal RNA", at positions 28 to 507 of the family's 1533-position model. The record is from RNAcentral.